CGUUAAAAUACAUCUUUCGCUAGUCAAUUUCAUUGAAAUCCGGCGUGCCGCCCCCCUCCCACCAUCCAACGAAUACGUUAAUAGUUCUCGACAACCUUAUUUCCAGAUAGACUGACAUUAUUUUCAGAAAUCGACACAUUUCUAAACAAUGUAAGGUAGUAAAACCAAGCGAUAAAAUAUUUAGAUAAAGUUUCGUCAAUGGUGAAAGCUAGAUAAAACGAAAAAACAAAGUUGAAUAUUCUUUGGGAUUCUUAUAUUCACGACAGUAGUCUAACCAAAGUGAAGAAAAUUGAAAUGUGUAUUAUUAGAAGCAAAACUCUUUUACGAAGGAACUUUCUUACAAAAAGACAUGUAAUUAUAUUACUUUCAAGCAUAUGUUUCUCAGUUUUAUUAUCGCUCCAAGUAUUUUCGCAAUGGAGAUUCCUGAAAACGAAUGUGACUUUGUUCUCUAGGGGACCAGCAGUGAACGAGACAUUAGCUUAUCAAUGCUGCACCCCGACGAAUAAGUCGAUCCGGACGAAUAUAUUCUUUCUGAAAACUCACAAAACUGGAGGCACAACCGUGCAAAGUGUCCUCAUGCGAUUCGCCAUUAUGAACUCGCUAGAUAUACUUAAAGUAAAUUAUGCUUCUUACUAUUUGCCAUUUUCCGACUCGUCAAUACCUUCCCAACUGAUGACACCCAACAAUAAAUACAACGUGUUCGCGGACCAUGCGCGGUAUGACCCGAAAAUUAAACAAUAUCAAUACCCUGAUACAUCGAUGGUGACGUUACUACGACACCCAAUAAAAUUAUUCCAAUCAU
Planococcus citri (citrus mealybug) is the source of this 802-nucleotide long non-coding RNA. RefSeq lists it as uncharacterized. NCBI's taxonomy places the organism in Eukaryota, Metazoa, Arthropoda, Insecta, Hemiptera, Pseudococcidae. The transcript is spliced from 2 exons. The record is from RefSeq and is a predicted model, not a curated record.